GUCCCAGGUGCAGAUCGUUUUGUAGUAAUCUUCUUUAGUCCAGUGGUUUGUUUUAGGGCCUACGAUGUUCUCGGAACUCUUAGUAUUUGCAACCUAUCUCAUUUAGUGAAUGUUUGAACGAUAUACCCCGGGAACUGACCAUCUUUUUUAUUUGAGACUUAGAUUGCCUUGUUUUAAAGUUAUUAUAUUUUGUUACUAAUUUUCCACCAUUUGAAACCUGACAUUAGAUUUAUUGUCGUUCUUGAUUCUAUCUGUUGCCUUCAUCAAAAAAAAGUUCAACUUGGACAAACCCGUUGAUUGUGUAUGGUCACGUAUCGUAAGCAAGAGUUCAUUAUAUUUUGCAGGCCUAUACGUGCAGUCAUUAUACUUGCCCUAUCUGCUGCAAGUCCCUAGGGGAUAUGGUGGUAAGCAGAUUUUAUGGAUCUGGUCAAUCUUGAGAUUAUUGUAUGGUUUGAUCCUUGUUCGAAGCAUUUAUUGUUCAUAUAAGAACUAUUGUCUGAAAAUGCUUGUGACUACCUUUAUUAUUACUUCUACCCUGUAAUUUUGUGAUUUCCAGUUUUCUUUUAUCAAGUUGUAAAUAUCUUAUCAUUCCUUUUGUCUGCGAUUGUCUAAUUAUAUCUGUCUGAUUUUGCAGAUUUAUUUUGGUAUGCUCGAUGCUUUAUUGGCAUCUGAGCAGCUUCCUGAUGAGUAUAGAAGUAGAAAUCAGGUAUACAUUUUGGCCAUGACCUAUGAAUGAUAGUAGUGUCACCUGACAGUCACGUUCAUAGUUCGUAACAUGAAUGUCAACCCUCAGCACAUUGAAUUUCUGUCAAACUGUUGAAAAUCACUUUUGAUCAUAUCAUAUUAAGCAAAUUUUUGAGAGCAAUUUUCUGAUCCUGAAGCGUUUCAUUGGAUGUAUUGAUUCUAUGCAGGAAAUCCUAUGUAACGAUUGUGAGCAAAAAGCAACUGCACCUUUUCACUGGUUAUAUCACAAAUGUGGAGGAUGUGGCUCUUAUAACACCCGUGCUAUAUAAUGUAACACUCCAAAGCUCGUAUCAAGUUAUUAUCUUUUAUCAAAAUUUGCAAAGAAGCUGUUCCGUUUCUGUAUGCUCAGCGACUCACAUAUUUUGGCAUCACCAUUUACAAUUUAAAAAAAAUUAACAUCAUUGGAUAAUCUAUUUGGCUAUUCAAAUACUAAAAUAAGAUUGGUUAGGUUGCAAGUGGGCAUUUGAGGUUGUAAUUGAUGAUCCUUUCGUUGUCUUGAUUUAUUUAACUUUCGUGAGGAGAACGAACAUUAGACUGAAGAAACAUUCGGUAGAGAAUGCGCAGGUUUGAAAGGUAGCACGUUGUAUUCCCCUAAGAAAACACUUUACAAAAUGUUAGUUUCAGGUACUCAUGUGUAUCAACUUAUAUCUUCUAUUUCAAACGUUCUGGUAGUGGUUGCUUGGGGUACAAGGGGAUGCCUUCUGUAAGUACCAAGUUGGCAAUGUUUGAUCCUGAUGAUGCCUGAAAAUCUUUCUGUGUUUAACUAUAUUUUUGUUGUGCUGUUCCCAGUGGGUUUCCGGUUAAAUUGUUGUUGCGCAAUUCCAUUUACGAAGACAUCAGCCACUUUUAACUUCUGUGUGCUCAAAGGUGUUGCGCUUUGCUCAAUAAAUGUAAUAGUAGACCAGGAAUAUGUGGGUUGUGUCUGUCAUCAUAUCGAGGCUUCGGACGUUGUAAAAUGGUGGGGAAACACUGCACCCAGUGUUUUAUUUUCUGCACAAAAUGACUUAUUCUGCAACUUUAUUGGUAUAUCGACGUCUAAACUUUCUCAGUUGAAUUGAUAUCGCUUGUUAUUUGGUUGAAAGUGGUGUUAUUUUCUUGCAUAGUUGUAACAUUGAGCAGUAAAUAUGAGAUCGCUUCUUGCCGAUGUGUUGCUCUUGAACUAGUAAUGGUGAAUGGUGCUGAUAUUAUUCUUCUUAAGGAGCAAUAACUUUGGAGUGUUCUAAUAUUUUCAAAAGUUUAUUGGAUCUUUAAGGUACUCUGAUGAGUUUAAAUUAGUUUAAUAUUUUAAAAUAUAAAUGCACAAGAUAAUUCAAUACAUGUGCAAUUUCAAGUCACAUUUUUCAUGCUAAGCAUGCAAUUUAUAUUUGUAAUAUUUGAAUAAAUGAAUAAAAGUGUAAUCUCUACUGCAUGUGAGAACAUGAUAAAUAGAGAUAAGGUUAUUAUAUCUUCUCUUUGAUAAUGGGUUUUACAUUUAGAUUUCGGCUUUCUUCACUCUGAUAAAUGGGGCUAGAAUUGCAACAAUGAUGUCAUUUUGUAUAUAUAUAUAUAUAUAUUUAUUGUAUGUUAGAUAUUGAUUAACAUUGCAAGGUAUAUUAGAUUUUUAAGUAAUAGCUUUUAGAAAAUUUUAUGUGAAGUUUAAUUUGUAUGAUAUUGUUUGUGGAUUUUAUUUCAAAUUAAUUAGAUUUUGUAUACCUAGUGGUCUGUUUGGGUUUGCAACAAUCUACCCUGACCAAUGGAAAUGAGAUGUUUGGUAGUCAAUGUAGAGCAAAAGGAUUGUAUUGUCAACAUUGGGCAACAAAAGUGCAUGGGUUGUUAAAAUCAUAUUCAACAUUCAAAGUCCAUAGUCUAUGUGCCAACUUUACUUAAAGAUUUCUUGUCACUAUCAAAAUCCUAAAUUUAUUUUUCUAAUAUAUUAAGCUCUUAAACUGAGAAUAAAAUAAACAUUAAAUAUUUAUUUAUAAAAAAGAUACCAUAAAUAACUAAAGUUUAGAAAAACUUAUUUGAAUGAAAUAUUUAAAUUUUUGGAAUAUUAGGAUUUUUUAACAUGUAUGUAAAAACAUCAACUUUAUUAAUUUAAGCAUGUUUGCUAAAAUAUCUACAUUUUAAAAUAACAGUAAGUAAAAUAAAUACCAAAGUUUAACUAGAAAUUUAUAAUAUUUAAAAUAUUGAAAAAAUAUCUAAAGAAGAUUUUUUUAAUAAGAUAAUUUUUUAUAUUUACAAUCUCAAUUAUAUAUACAUAUGUGUUAUUAGAAAGAAUGUUGAUAAUUAAAAUUCUUUACAUAAAAAAAAAUUAAUUUUGAUUAUAUAUCUAAUUAUCUAAAUACUAUUCAACACAUUUAUAGUUUUAUAAAUGAAAUAUUUUUAACUAUGAUAUAAAGUAUUCAAAAAUAGAAAAAAAUAGUUCUGUGCUUGCUUUAAAUAUUCUUUGAUGAUGAUUUAAAAGUUGGAAUCAAUUAUUAGAUAAAAUAUUAUUAUUUUUAUUAUUAUAUAUAUUAUUUUUUGAAUAUAUGCACUUUGAGUUUUUGUAAUAACUUUAAAUUGUAUAUAAAUAUAAUUACAUAAGUAUAAAUAAAUAAAUAAAAUAUAUAUAUAUAUAUAUAUAUAUAUAUAUUUUUGAAUUUGAAUUUGUUAUAAUCUAUAAGCUUUAAAAUCUUCUAUAAUAUUAUAAUUUAUUUAUGAGUUUUUUAAGAUUUACUAACAAAUAAAACUACACCAACUAUAAAAUUUAGAAUUUGAUCAUCUUGAAUCAAUAAUUCUCUUUUUAAAAAUACACAGUAAUAUUUUUUUUAAAGGAAUUGUAAACUAAUUAUUAAAAUAUAAAUAAUUUUCAGUUUUAUAUUUAAAAGUAAUAAUCAAAAUAACAUUAAUUUAAUUUAUUUUUAAUUAUUUAAAAUACUCUAGUAUUUAUAUUUUAUGUUUUUCUUUUUUUCUUUUUCUAAAAAUAAUUAACUUCUUAAUUUUGUAAAAAAGAAAGCCCAAUAGAGAUUCUUAUAAACUUGUGGUACAAUUCUUUGAGGCUCUAUAGUAAACUAUAGAACGUCUUCAGGAAGAUUCAUAUCGCUUUUAAGAUGUUCUACAAGCAUCUUAAAAGUACCCCAAAUUGGGCUUUCUUGUUGAGAGUUUUCUUGCAAGAUCUACAGAAUAGGCCGUGUUGACUCUUCUUUACUGCAAGUCAAUAAUAAGGGAAGAAAUACUGAUUCUAAGCAUAAUCUAGGAUUCCAUUUGUACCACUUGAUUACAACUCAGAAGCAACUAAUGAGGUUCUUGAUCUCUUAGCAAAGGUGUUCCCUAACGAAGACAUAAGAAGAUACUUUAUGAGGUUCAUCUCAUCAUGUUUAGAAGGAAGAAAUGCGAACAAGAUAUUUUCUAUAUGGUCAGGAUCUGGAGACAACGGAAAGACUGUCAUGGUUUCUCUAGUUGAACGAGCGUUUGGAGACUAUGCAGUGAAGAUGCCAACAUCAUUGCUUAUGGGAAAGAGAGUACAAUCAUCAGCAGCUACUCCCGAGCUAGCAAUGCUUAAAGGAAGACUUAUAGCUCUCGUUCAAGAGCCUGAUGAAGGUGACAAACUUAACCUUGGUGUUAUGAAGGAGCUUACAGGAAAUGAUAGUCUCUAUAUUAGAGGAUUGUACGAAGAAGGAGCUAUCAUACCUCAGACAGCAAAGUUUGUACUCAUUGCCAACAGGAUCCUACAGAUGAGUACGUUUGAUAAAGCAGUGUGGAGUAGAGUUAGAGUAAUGCCAUUCGUAUCAACGUUUGUUGAUAAGAUAGAACCAUCUCACAAUCCUCUUACAACACACUUGAAGGAUAUUAACUUCUCCAACAAGAUUCCUUUGCUUGCUCCUGUAUUCAUGAGAUUAGUAAUAGAAGAGUACAAGCAAUAUCUAACUUAUGGUCUUGAAGAGCCUGACGAAGUUAAGGACUGCACUGAGACAAUUCGUGUGUCUAAUGAUAUCUUUGGGCAGUUCUUGAGCGCUAAUGUUGAGAAGAGCAACAAGAGUAUAGUUGCUAUAAAGGAGCUGUAUGAUACCUACAAGUACUGGUCAAAGGAUAUGUUCCCAACAAUGAAAGUAAAAGAUAUAUCGUCUCUACGACAAUAUCUAGUUAGGAACUCGUAUACUAUAGAUGCUGUAGAUCAGAUUCAAGGAUUAUCUUUGAUAUAGAUAACAACAAAAAAAGCUUUUUUUUCUGCAUACUUAUCAGUACUGCGUCUUGUCCAAACAAACUGCACAGCCUACCGCGAUCAUGGUGUAUGUAUAACACUUCUUUCUACCUCAAAGAGAAAGGAGGUGUAGUUGAUGUGAAAGCAUAAAAUGCGCUAGCUAUGUCAAACACUAAGUACUGGUAUCAAUAGAUAGAGCGUGUCUCCUUAACUUAGUCAUCAAAGAAAGCACUUCGACUCUUGAUUCAAAAGAUGAUAAUCUCAAUCCUCCUAUGCUUGGAUACUUCUUUACUUCAAGCUUCUGUUCAGGAAGUCCUCCAAAUAGAGACACUAUGUACUCUUCAGUAAACACCACCCUUAUAAUGGACACUUCAUCACCCUUAACAUUAAUUCCAUACAUUACCUCAGGAAGUAUGUUAUUUGAGAAUAUGCUAUAAUUCUGCUGACAUGCAGCAAUGAGAGCACUAACAAGUUGUAUCUCUCCAUUUCUGUAUCUUAUAUCACGUUUGUGUUUGCUUUCUUGCAGUACCCAUACUAACUGUUCACCUUUUCUUCCUUCUCUGUCACUAAAGGUAGAGAACAUCUCAUCUGCAAUUCUCAUUCUAAGCAUUGAUGGCACUAUAUGAGGCUGAAACUCUUGAGACUUGUGGAAAUACUGGUGCAUAGUCCUUUAAAUAGAGAUUGUAUUGUAAGGCUUUUUUGAAUUCCACAAAUAAAUUUCAUGUGAUUUUUUACUCAUAAGUUGGACGAGAUUUCCCCUAUAAAGAUUCAAGAUGCACCUAAACCGUGCUAUAUCUUUGCUAUUACCCAUUUCUCUUUGAAGAUUGUAAAUAGGAUUGUUUGAAAGAUGAAGCAAAGGUAAACACGUGAAGAGAAUGAAUUAGCAAAUCUCAGCUCCGGAUAUCUGGAGACUACUCUGCGGCUGCAGGGGCAAAGCCUGAUUAGCUACUGGGGCGUGGCGAACUCUACUAAGAGAGUAGAGUAGAGUAAAGUAAAUUAAAGUAGGAGUCGGUCACGGGGAGUGGUUUUGUUGCCGGGGGAUGGCUGGCUGGAUGGAGCCCUCCCUGGGCACUGCCGCUUGUCCCAGCUCAGCACACACUACAUAACAACAUUCACUUACACUUACUGGUGCAUGUGUUGUGAGGCGGCUCCCCGCAUGGGCCCCAGAGCUGCUGCUGCUGCAAUCAAAGCCAAUGUUUGGAACCUCUACGAAUGCUGCCACCCCGACUCUCCCACUUCUGGCUGGCUAACUGGCUGGCUGAGGGUGGUCUGCGAGUAAGUGCACCUCUUCAUCACUAAUUCUCUCUCCCCUCCGAGACGCACGCGAACCCAGUGUCAGUCCGCCAUCCAAUACGAUGAUGAUGCAUGGAAGCGGAAGAGACCCACAGUCGUCAACUGCACGCCAUUACGGCGGUUGGAAGAUGUUCCACAAGUCGCUGACAGUCUGGUAAGGAACGGGUUUUGGAGGCGGCACAAACGCGGCCUCUGCUCCUUCAGCUGUGCGGAAGUGAGGCCAGUCAUAGAAGAGCUGGCGUGAGUUGGGGUAGGGGUUGUAUGGCAGGAGAGGGUUGUAGGAUUGGCUCGGAUGAUAGUCGAAGCUCGGGUACCGCGACACCAAAUAUUCAUAAGGAGGGUACUGGACUGCUUGAGGAGGUGGUGCUGGUGCUGGUCCUUUGGGUUUGUCCUCUUUCUUCUCCUUUCCCCCUCCCUCUUCUUUUUUCUCUUGCUUCUCCUCUUUUUUUUCCUUCUUUUCCUCCUCAUUCACUUUCUCUUCCUUUUUCUCGACCUUUACUUCCUUCUUCUUCGCCUCUGCCUUGUUCGCCUCUUCUUUGGGAGCUGGUGGGGAUGGAGGCCAGAAAUGUGCCUUUUUGUCGAUUUUCUUCGCCCUUUUCAGAACGUCGGGUGGGUAUGGUUUCCCAAUCACCGUGACUUUAUUCGAGGAGUAGUCGCACUGCACAUCUAACACUCCUGCACAGCACUAGCAUAAAUCCUCGGUGGCUUGGACCAACAUGCCAUAGAACUUCGUAAGCAUGAAUGGCAAUCCUUAUCCAUCCUUCCUCUGUAUAGUAGUUAAUCCUUCCCACUCUGUUAUUCGUACAAUCUGAGUAGUACUUUGAUGCUCACCAGGUACUUCUCUGAUUUCUUCCGAAAUAAUCUCCGCGCAUUUCAUGCAACACAUGCCCACCUUCAAAUCCAGCUUCUUCAGUCCCACCAACUGCAACGCACAAUUGCCAUUCCCAGAGUCUAAUCAACUAUUCAAUACAUUCAUUCACUUCCACGAAAAACUGGAAGCAAUUAGCUCCAUAUCUGAGCUCUUGCUGCCUACCUCAGGAAAAAGCUUCUACUCUCAGAUGCCAUUCAACUAUAGCAAGUGGCAUCUUGGUCACUUACAUACCCAGAAACGAUUAUACAAAAAUGUGCAUUUGCAGACCAUCGGAGACUACAGGCAAGGAGACGAACACAGUGCAUGAGUAGCAGAUAGAAGACAUACCGGCAUUGUCUCAGCAGGGGCAACUUUAACUGGGGCAUACCAAGAAUUGCUUUCCAGCCAAUUAGGAGGUGGACCUCCAGUGAAGUAAGUGAACACCUGCACAUGUGCACAUAUGACACAGUUCGACUUGUGUCACAGCGCCUCAACUCCAGUCCGAGCGAAACCAUUCCACACAAAAGUGCCAAUCGGGCAAUACACAACACUAUCUCACCGAGUAUGCUACAUGAGACAACUUACGUAAAACUGAAUCUAUCAAGGGUUCGAUCCAAGGAAGAAGAGUUAACUUGAGCAUCACUGUCAUCGUACCUCUUGGUUCUCCAUCCCAAUUCGUCCCAAGAGCUUGCAAUUCAACGGCUAUCCACUAAUAGCUCGACAGUAAGACGAACGUUCUGUUGGAGAUCCAAGGUUUGCCUUAAAAUUCAAUAAUCGGGUGAAAAACUUAUAAAAGCGGAUAUGGUAAGAAAAAAGAGGACAUGAGAGUAUCAGAUUAUGCAUUUCCAAAGUUUGGAGAUUAGUAUGGCCUGGCAAAGAAAAGCAUUUCCAAAUUGUAUCUAUCAUCAAAUACUGUUGGCUCGGAUUCCAUACAAUUGAAGCCACGGUAACUAGGGCUUUUUGUAACAAGCCCCGAGUCAAGAGAGAACUCCAAUCCAGCAUUAAUGACGAGAUUUCCUCACAAGCAAAACCCCAAACUCAAACUAUUCCGUAAUUCCAGCACUAGAACUUAAGCCUUUCAAAACACCCUGACACAACGUACUGCAGUCAGUCCGAACGACUGGUCGUUAAGACCGGGACAACCAUCGAAGCAGUAUGGGGACCGUGGUAAAGAUUCAAAUUGUACUGCUUUGAAGGAAGGGAAACGAUACAGUACAUCUUCAACAAGAAAUCACGCGUGCGCAUAGAUGAGAUUCCUGUGUUCGUGUAAGUUAACAUCAAGGUAAAUUAUCUGACUAACAAGCAUGAACCUGGCAGCGGGCCCGAACACGAGUGAGACCAGCAUCCAUAUCCAAACUAGUGAUAAUUUCAGCCACCAAGAUUCUUACAAGGAUCUAAACAUCACUUAGACGGAAAGCUCUCUUCCAAGUGAUGUAUCUGAGAUACAAUAUAUCGUAAAAAUACAGCACACUCUAGCAAGUCCUCAAGAUGACUCAAGUUUGCAAGGUAGUAGUUCAAACAGGUUCGUAGAGCCUGCCGCUUGCAACGAGUAGCUACUCAGACUCAGCGAAGAGAACUGGACAAAAUGAAUUGCAGCAAAGCCGACGUUGAUCAAUUUACUAGGUUAGUGAAAGAACACUCAAUCAUGCAGUCCUAGACAUCGUUAGGCGUGUGGGGAGCCCAAGUAGAGUCGGCAUCAUGGGAUUUCAGAAGCUCAGGUUGUGAUCUUACUGCUUGAGCCUAGUCUCGCUACAAGUCCCCACUGCGCUUCCAAGAUGCAAGCAAUCAAACCCCACAAACGCAAUGAGCAGAAUCCCUUGCGAAGCGGAUCCUAGCUCAAGGUUGUAACUAGAUAAUCUUGCAGUUCAAAAAACAAUCCCCGUUGGCCACAGUGGCUGUCUCAACUGCCUCAUUAAGUCCGCUUGAACCAGCUAGGAAACCAAACUUGUCGCGUCACCACCCCUACCCACAUACCAAAUAUCGCAGUUUGACUAGAAACAAAGAUGAGCAUAGAGAUAGGCUCGGAGCAAGGACGGAGCGACAGCACGCCUGAAAAGGUGAAGGAAACCGAGAACAACUGGCCAUGUGGUUUAAAAAAUUCAAAGUUGGCCUACAUACUGGACCAAGCGUUUUGCAUCAGCAGGCACCUUCUUUAUCGGCGCAAAUUAGAUCAGGCAAAUCAAUUAGAUAAUUUGAACUGGGUACUAUACGUAGCCCUCAUCAGUCUCCAGAGCUGAUAGUACAAGCUUUGGCUUGCGUAGUCGAUGUGGAGGUGAGGAGCGCCUCUUGUAACCGUGACCCGGUCAAGCAUCCACAAGGCUUGCGUCUGCAGCCUAUUCGUCUGCCGAGAUAGACGCUGCUCCUCUGCUUACUUUGUAUCGUUUAGUUUGACUGGAGGAGCACGUUCCAUUAAAUAAGAUUGCUUGAUGCUAUUUUAUCAGUUUAGACCUCCCAGAAUAGGGUAUGACGUGUGUUCCUGUGGGGGGCUAGCUGGGGACGUUAAGGUUGAACAAUAUGCACCAUGUCCUAGAAUGUUGCAUUUCUGCAUAAGUGCUGUUGACCUUACGUGUAGGUAUUCGUAUUCCUCGCGUCCUUCUAACUCCCUCACUAGUUAACUUUUAUUUUCAGGAGGCAAGUCUGUCUCGUGUGAAUGAUUUUAAAGAAGUAAUCCUUCUUUCACGAGGACAGACAUGAAUAUUACCAAGGGAUGCACUACCGACUUGGUAAUCCUGUUAGUCGAAAACUGCACGCCAACUGCUGAAACAUACAUCCUUCCAAACAGAUCCAGAUUGUAAUCAAGCACUCUCCGGCACAGUGAGACAGGCUUCAAUCACUGCAACGAUGCAGUUGAAGUGCAACCUUAAGAAUCAGAUGGCAUGGAAACUCACAUGGUGAUACGAAAUUGUCCGAAUGAUGGAAUACAUGCAUCAUGCUCUCAAAAAAAAUGCCCCCCGCAAGCUAAACUCACCACCUGUGAAGAUUGAAGUGUCAUGGUACGGUCAAACAACUCGAUAACAUAUGCAACCGAGAUAAGGUAAAAGAACCAUAAGAUUGAAUUCAGAAGUUAUUGUGAAGACAAAGCAUUGUUUUGUCUUGACGAUUUGUACCUACUUGCGCGGUCAGAGAAUUGGGGAAACUACACACACGGUAGAGCUAUUCCCUGGACAGCACGCCAAUCGCCUGGACAUAUCACACUCUAGCGAUCUCCUCAAGGCCAACCGGAGCAGCAGAGUGGCACUGAAGCCCCAGCUCCAAACUCUGCAGGGUGUGUGACCACCCUGCCUUCCUUCCUGCCUGGCUUGGUAGGUGCGUGGAUGCGGCGCAGCAGGCACACAUGCCAGCCCCCAAGUGAGGUCAAAGCCCACACAAUAGCUGUGCACCUCCUCCCCUUCUCUCCCUCCUUUGGGCACUGCAAACCCACAGCUGCACGCAUUCCAUUCGGGCGGAGGAACCGAGGAAUGCAUCAAUAAAUUCUAGGUGGAUGAAAAGAUGGAUGAAUGAGUGCCGGAAGCCAGGAACUGCACCACUGCCUACCCCAGAGAAUGGAAUGGAAAGUAUACAUGUAUGUGUAUAUAUAUAUAUAUAUAUAUAUAUUCAAAGAAUUGAUAUUGCUACACCUUAACUAACACCUGCCACAACUGGGUGGGGGUACCAGAUAGGUGAAGCACCUCCUUGCAGUGAUCAAUGAGUGGGGUUGAGAGGUAGUGCCUCUUCGGGGUCUUGCAAACAAAACUCCCCAAAAGAUUAUUAUUUUUGGAUUCUGUUUCUAAAACCCAAUUUGAAUUGUAGAGGCUCUUUUUUGAAACCCCAGUUUCCAGAAUUGUCUUUUUCUUGAUUUUUUUUUUUUUUUUUUUUUUUUUUUUUAAUACUUGCCAAGGUAUUAUUGCUAUAUUAAAGUCCAUGAUUAAGUGAUGUGCUAAGGCAAUGAGAGUGAGAACAAGCUACAAAAAUGGACAUAGAAUAAGGUAGAAAAUUGAAGAUAGAAGAAGAUAGAGAAUAGUAAAAAGAACAAGUAACAUAAAUUAUCCUCUUAAUAGCCAAUAUAAUUCACUCAAAUAUUUCAUCACUAACAUUCGAUAAUUUGCACUUUCCUAUAGUUACAUCAUUGUUAAGAAGCAAUCAAUAUGCAACAACAAAGUUUGGUUCAAAUGUGACAAGGAGGGAGAAAGGGGAAGGAGGGUGGUAUAUUGGCAAAAGUAAAAUUGGAUGUGGUGCCAACAAACUAACUUCACCAAUUGCCUCUUUAAAGCUAUUACAUGAUAUAAUAAAAUAUUAGAAAAAUAAGUGUGCUUAGUAAAAAUUGGCAUAUACAAUCAUCCAAAGACAAUAGAUAUGUCUACUCAUCUUAUAAUAUACCACUUUAGUCCUUGUAUGUACAUGUGUGUCUGGAGUCUUCUUGUUGCAAAAACUAGGCGAAGUAUGGUAUUAACCUCCAUUAGAAAUGAUUAUGGCAACAUGUUGGCUAUUUCAUCAAAUAUAUAUAUAUAUAUAUAUAUAUAUAUAUAUGAAUUUGACUCCAUAUGUGAUACCAAAAAAAAUUUCUUAAUACAAUUCUUUUUUGGUCAUCUAACUUCAAUUUGCUUAACUUGCAAUUAUCUUUAUGUCUUCUCAAUAGAUUGUUGCUCAAAGACUAAUAUAAUUUGUAUGUUUUUGCUACAUGUUAUGGAUGUGAUAUCACUAAAUUCUUUGAUUUUUCUUGUUUUUGAUUUUUGAAGGAAGAAAAAAAAAAUUAUACUUGGAUUUUUGAAUAAAUGCAAAAUCUUUUUGUUGAUAGAAUUAUGCCGAAGAUCCUUAUAAUUGAUUGUAAGCUUAUGCUUAUGUUUGCAUUACAAAUUAUUUUUCUUUUAACUACAAAGCUAUUUUAUAUUUGGUACAUCAAUAAGAAUAUUUUGGCAUAUUGUGUCACGCACAUACUAUCAUGAACAUACAUACUUAUUCUAGUAAUUACCUAAAUGAUUAAAUAGAAGUAAGUAAAAGUAGAUAAAAAUAAAUCAAUAUCUUCUAAAAAAAAUAUUUUUUCUUAUUAAGACAUAAGCAUAUUAGAAGUUGCAAAUUACCCUCUUCUAAACUAAUAUUGUUCUUGGUAGUUUCUUUGUUCUCAAGUCUUUUCUUCUAUUUGACUUGAGUAAUAUUCUAUAUUGUUAUUCUCGUUGUGUUCAAGCUUCAGUAUACCAAAGCAAUUAAACUAAUAGAAGUGGGUUCGAACAUGGCGAAAGACUGAUUAUAUGAAUUGGGUUUGUUAGUGUCACAAUUGACUGUACUUUGCUUAUUUGAAAUCAAUUAUCAAACUACAAAACACCAAGGCUUACUACUUCCAUCUUAAUUCAAUGCAUAAUCCAUUCUACGACUAUCAAUUCAACAAUACUUCCAUAUUCUUAUUCGUUCAUCUCCCACUUAUUCUCUUUGUGGUUUAUAUAUAUUUAAUUACUCAUCUCCAGCUUACUUAUUAUAUUCAGUUUUUCAAUUCAUCACACAGAAUUUAAUAUCUUCACUUAAUACAAUACAAUUCGAUAAUCUCAAUUCUCAAGGUCACAGAUUUUUUCCAAAAUGAUCAGUCCAAAAUUAUAUUCCACAAUAUUCUAAUCACAGUUUCAAUAAUACUUCUUUCAAUCACAAUUCUUCAUCAGAAAAUAAUAAAAGCAAAGAAAACAAAGAAAUAGGACCAAGCUAAUCCUAGCUUAUGACACUUAUAGUCUGGAUCUUGGCUUAUGACUCUCACAGUCUGGCUCUCGACUUACGACUCUUACAGUCUGACUUUGAUCUCUCUUUCUUCAACCUCUUUAUCCUACCAAAAAGAUGAUCUGUCGGCCAGCAGAUUCUAAAGGUUAUGAUCCUUUGAAUUCUUAACCAUUUAUUUCACCAACAACCUAUUGUUACCAACUAAACUGCCUAACCAUCAGUAUAAUUCUCAAGGUUAUCAAUAACCAACCAACAACUUAUCACAAAGUUUAUUUGCCUAUUUUACAUAGCCCCACUCCUAAUUGUGCAGCGUUCUCACAAACAUUAUUUAGCCUCAACUUAUAAAGACGUAGCAACGUUGGCUUCUUCAAUCAAUGGCGUUUGCUUACCACCCUUUGAAUUGGUGAUCUUCUUCUCUACUACAUCUUCGUUGUCUGCCUCGAUAUUCGAGGGUUCUUCAUCCAAACACGUCAUCAGAUCUUCAUUCAACAAAUCCAAUUCCCAUACCUGAGACUCACGUUGGUAAUUUGGUUGUUACGCUCUUCCAACAUCUUCUGCCAUUCUUCUGUCGAUUUCAAAGGUAUCUCCAAAGGUGUUGUUGCUGAAAUUGGCAUAUUAAUCCACACUAAAUUAUUGGCCUCCUUUGCUAAUGCAGCUAGUUUAGUCUGCAACAUCGCAACCUCUACCUGCAGCCACUCUUGUCGUUCCUUCCAAUCAGUCUCCAACCUUGCUUUCUCAGACACCAUGUUUGCCAUCUUCUCCUUAACCACAAAAGAAAAUAUGAUGCUUGUCAAGAGCCCCCCUCCUACUUCUUACUAUGGUCCAAUCAAUUUGAUCAAUUCUCCCUUAUUUUCCAUGAUUCGUCAUGAUGAAAUAUCCUAUCAUCAUGAUUAUUUAACCUCCCCCUUUUUAUAACAGAAAAUCUGUCCCGGAUUUAUGUAUAGUAAAGUUUAAGCCGAUUGCCAUUGAUCCGUGUCGUAAAUUUAGUAUCCAUAAAAUCUUCCAAUUGUACUGAAUCAUUUAGAAAUUCAUCAAUAACUUGAUAUGGCCCAUGCCAUUGAACUUGAAAUUUUUUUGGAAUUUUUUUAAAUUGACUAUCAUAAAGAAGUACCAAAUCAUUUGGCAUAAAAGUCUUUGGUCUAAGCUUACUAUCAUAAUAAGUCUUCCUUUAUUUUUGUGUAGUUUCCAUUAUCAUUAAUGCAUUGGCUCUAGUUUCAUCUAAUUUUUUUAAUUCUUCUAAAUGGUGCCGUAAUGAAUCCUGAUCUUCCAAUCUAUUAUUUAUAGUAAUUCGUAAACUUUGGACUUCCAAUUCAAUAGGUAAUAUUGCUUCCUGACCAUAAACCAAUUGGAAAGGGGUAGCAUUGGUAGUAACUUUAUACGCAGUAUGGUAUGCCCAUAAAGUUGCAAACAACUUAGUGUCCCAAUCUGUUCCCGCUCUUGAAACUAUUUUUAUUAAGAUUUUACAUAAAAUUCUAUUAGUCUUUUCUAUUUGUCCAUUGACUCUAGGAUGAUACGGUGUAGUCUUUCGAUGUUUUAUCUCGUAUUUAGCCAUGAGUGCUUUGAUUGUACUAUUUAUUAAAUGAGUUCUUCGAUCACUAAUCAAUUUUUGUAGACAAUCAAAUCGUGUAAUAAUAUGUUCAUACAAAAAAGUUGCUACUGUACUUGCACUAUUGGUUUUCAUAGCUACGGCUUCAACCCAUUUUAUUACAUAAUCCGUUGCUACUAGUAUAUACCAUUUUUGUUCAUUUCUCAAGGCUGGUAUAAUUGGUCCCACAAAAUCAAUUUCCCAUUUUUCAAAAGGCACUUGAGCUAGAAUUGGUACCAAUGAUAUUGUUGAAGUUCCAGUAGGUCGACCCAUUCUCUGAUAUGGGUCACAAUGAUGGACAAAUUGAUAGGCAUCUACAAACGUUGUUGGCCACCAAUAACCAGCCUGUAAAGCUUUACAAGCCAUGUUGUCCUCCACAAAAUGUCCACCACGACUAUCCAAGUGGCAACCUGCCAAUAUAGUACGCACUUCAAUCUGAUAAAUAUAGUAUCACAAAACUCCAUCCUUACCUUGUUUAUAUAAAACUUCACCAAUCAUCGUAUAAAAUGUACAUUUUAAUAUUAAGCGUUGUUUGAGCUUUUCAUUAAAAUUAGGUGGGAAGGUUUGAAAUGUCAAGUACUGAAUUAUUUCACUAUACUCUGGAGUAAUUACAUCUACCACAAACAGUUCCGCAUUGGAUAGUGCAUCAUUAAUAGAAUCAUUAUCCAAUAUAUUGGAUAACCAAGAUAAAUGGUCCGCAUUGGAAUGUGAUUUUCCUAGUCUUACCUGAAUAGUAAAAUCAAAUUCCUGUAAGAGUAAAAUCCAUCAUGCAAUACGACCACUCAAUUGAGGCUUAUUAAUCAUAUAUUUUAAAGCAUCAUGGUCAACAUGAAAAACAAAUUUAUAACCAAGAAGAUAAUGUCAAAACUUUUGUAUGGAAUAAAUCAUCCUUAAUGCUUCUCUUUCGGUUGUUGUAUAAUUUCUUUCAGUUGCUAUCAAUUGACAACUUGCAUAAUAAAUAGGGUGAUCAAAAUCUUGGUCAUCUUUUUGGCUUAGCAUAAAACCAAUCGCGACAUUAGAUGCAUCCACAUAAACUUGGAAUGAUUUUGUCCAACAAGGUGCCACCAAUAUUGGUGCUGAAACCAAUUUCUGUUUCAAUGUUUCAAAUGCAAUUGUACAUUCCUUUGUCCAAAAUAGAUUGAUUCCAUUGGUUGGUGGUUUCUUCAAGAGAUUUGGCAAAAAAAGGCAUAUAACUAUGAAUAGAUAGAUAAAUUGCCGAUAAUAAUUGAUAUGGUCGACAAAUACUUGAACACCCGUAACAGUGUCUAAUUGCUUUAAUUCUAUUAUAAUCUUUAUUUUAUCCAGAUCUAUAGCAAUGCCUGCCAUCAAAACUAUAUGAUCCAACAGUUUACCAGAAGGUACACCAAAUUGAUACUUUUUUGAAUUUAAAGAAAUUCCAUAUUUGGCACAUUGAUUUAAACAUUGACCGAGACAUUUUAAAUGCAUGGCUCUCGUACUAAAUGUAUAGAAAUCAUCUAGAAAUAUUUCCAUUGAAAUUUGUAGAUAAUCUUGGAACACUUGCAUCAUUAACCUUUGAAAUGUAGCUGGUGCAUUAUAAAGCCCAAAUGGCAUAACCUUAUAGGCAAAGGUCCCUCAAUCUGUAGUAAAAGUAGUUUUUAAUUGGUCGUCUUUUGAAAUCUUAACUUGAUUAUAACCAGAGAAUCCAUCAAGAAAUAAAUAAUAUUCAUGUCCCACGAUAACAUUCAAUAUACUAUUCGUGAAUGAUGAAGGAAAAUAAUCCUUUUUGGUAGCCGUAUUUAAUUUUAAGAAAACUUGACAAAUGUAAACUUUUCCAUUCUUUUUUGGUACCAUAACAAUUGGUAAAACCCAUUCACUGAAAGAAAGUAGAUAGAUAAAUCCAACCUCGAAGAGUUUAUCUAGUUCUUGUUUUACCAUGAGUGAGUAUUUUGGAUUAAGCCGAUGUUGUCUUUGGCAUACUAGUAUAGCAUCUUCUUCUAAUAUAAUUCGAUGCUCACAAAUUUCGGCUUGAAUUCCUUUCAAAUCCACAUACGACCAUACAAAAGUAAUUUUAUGCGUUAAAAAGUAUUCCAUCAAAAUUUCUUUCUCCUUACCUUUUAUACCGUCGUAAGUCUAAAUGAUUUGGAAAGCCUGCCUUGUACCUAAAUUAAUUGAUUGAAAUCAUGGAAUUUCAGGAGUUACUAGAAUAAUAUUCUGCUCAAUUCAAAAAUCUUUCAUAAAAUCCGACACAUUAGAACUUUUUAACUCCAGUUCCAUAGCACUAACAUAAUUAACAUCCUGUCUAUUCAUCCAAUAUUCAAUCAUAUGAUCAGAAUCAUCAAUAACAUCUGGAGGAACUAAGUACUCUUUCGAUCCCAUGCACUGAUAUUUUAUUCUAGUGUGCUCAAUAACUUGCCUUACAUCAACAUAAAUUGGGUCAGAUGCACCAAUUUCUUCUUCUGUAGAACAAUCUUUACAAUUCGACAAGAAAUCUGAAGUGACAACGUGAUAUUGGACAGGGUACAUUUGCAGCACAAUUUUAUCAUUACCUUUCUCAAUCGUCAAUGUACCAAGGCCUCAGUCAUUUUGAGCUUUAAUUUGAUACAACUACGAUCGCUCCAAUAAAAUUGGAUAUAACAAUAUAGAGCUUUACAAUCAAAAAAUAAUAUAAUAAAUUUUAUAGGUAAUCCCCAUAAUUACUGUAUCAAUACUUCGUAAAAUAUCCAUAAGUUUAACUUGACUAGAAUCAGCCAUUCUCAAAACUACUGUAGUAGGCAAUAAGUGAUCCAAACCCAAUUCUUCUAUUGUAGCAACAUUCAUAAGAUUUACACUAGAUCCUCCGUCUACUUGCACUCCCGAUAAUAAUACUCCAUCAAUUGAGACAUCAAUCAUUGAUGCACCCAGAUCAGGAUUCAAACUUACUUCUUGGAUUUCUUUAUUUCAAGAUUUGCAAUGAAUUAAUGAGGAAUUCAAGAUACUUCAGCACUCAUGUGCUACUACUAAUAGUUGCUUCAUAGAAAUAGUGGAUUGUAUGGUACCCAGAUCUUUUAGAAUAUUAUAUGGUUCUGUAUUAGUCAUAAUUUCCAAUGUCCGUUUCUUCUUCUUAGUCCUAGAUAUCGAUGCAGAUAAAUUGAUUUUUUCUAUAUUAAAAAUUGGUAAAGCUAUUAGAAUUGAAUUUGAUGGAGCUUGUAAAAUUGGUUCUUUCAAUGGGUAAGAUUCUUCUCCCAAUUGGACUGAUAUUGAUUCCUUAGAAUUCAUGCCUCUAAGAGGAUCUUUCAACAAAAAAGACGUUUUUUAAAACUGUGUAGAGAACGGAACAGCUUGAUACCAAACCAAAGCCUUCGUAAUUGGUACCUCAUUGGGAUGCAUAACCGAUUCAGGUCUUAUAUUGAGUAAGGAGCCUAUGUCAGGACCUGGAUUGGAUGGCCCCAUAAUUGGGUCCAAUUGGCCCUUUACUUCAAUAUCACCCAAAUAUUGAAUUGGUUUUUUUUUUUCUUUUGCUGACUAUUUGUAAGGAUAGCUUGGACUACUUCUAUUUGAUGGAUUGGUGAAUCUUGAGGACUUUGAUUUAUCUCCUCCAUUGUUCUUUGGCUUUGGAUCUGCUGAUCUCGAUUAUUGAAAUUGAAUGGAGCAUUACAUUGCUAAAAAGUAUGUCCCGACUGCUUGCAAUUUGUACAUACCAGUGCAUAAUCAUCACUGGCUCUGGGAUUGGGACAUUCUUUGGCAUAAUGACCAAUCUGUCUGCAACGAAAAUAAUGAAGUGGUCUUCUUGCACCUCCAUCUGGCAUAUUAGAUGUCUCCAUUGAUAUAUACCUACUAAGCUUGUUCCAUAUAGGAUUAGAAAAUGAUCCUGCUUGUCCAGUUGGUACGGAGGAUAUUUGGUUCAAUGACGUCGGUGGAGCAUAUUGUUGAUACCUCUGUUACUCCUUCUUGUAGUUCUGGGAGUUUGAUACACACCUCUGAUUAAAAUUGGAACUUUGAAAGUUAUUGAAUGUUUGAUUUUGUUGAUUAGAUCGAUUUCCAUUCCAUCCAUAUGUAUUUUCCAUUUGAAUUUGAUUGACUUCCCAUUGAGUCGGUGGGAUCAUGGUCUGAUUACUGAAUUCAUGUUGCCUUUGUAAAUGACAGCAGUUUUGAGUAGGGUACUUUCCUCUGCAAAAUGUACAUUGAACAUCCAUUUGUUUGGGCGAGGGACAUUCCGUAUCCAAGUGACCUUAUUCCUUACAAUUAUUACACCAUACAUUAGGUCUCGUAUUAGAAGGCUUAUGUCAUUUUUCUUUAUGUUUAGCCAAAUUCAUGGCCAAUUCUUCCAUCUUCUUUGUUAGAUUUAAUAACAAGGCUUCAUUUGGAUCUUUAACAGUCACAUUUGUGAACAACUCCGAUUGUUGAAAGGUUGGGAAUGUAAAAUAAGGUGUCAUUCUCAUUGGCGCUAUUGCUUAAAGUGGUGUAGCAUUAAUUGGUUGUUGCAACAUAAUAUUCUUCAUGUUGGAUGCAGCCAUUUGUGGAUAAUUAUCCAUCGAUAUAUUUUUGAGUUGUAUUUGUUGGCUUCCUGAACUUCGAAUCGUCGUGGCCCCCAUUGUUAACAAUUGGUCAUAAUGACAUUCUUUCCACACCUUUGCUUGUAUCAAUGAUGCCCCUACCGUAGCUGGUUGAGCCUCUUUUACAAAAAUUUUCAAUUUUGGUGGAUGCAAACCAUUGAUUAAUAUCGACACUAUAGAUACAUUUGACAUUUGAUUAUUUGUGCAUUUAUGAAGUAUAUCUGUGACCCGACCAUAAUAGGACUCCACUGAUUCCCUCGCAAAUAUUUUGCUAUUCAUAGAACUUUCUCCAAGCGGAUUUUCAAAUCUAAUUUGUCUAAAAUGGGUUAGGAAGGCAUUCCUCAAGGCCUCCCAAUUGGAAAAUCUACCUGCUAGUUGCCGAAUAUACCAUUCAAAAGCUAUAUCUUUUAAAGUUACUGGCAACCAUCUCAACCAAAUGUCUUCAAUUCUACCAUUAUUAGCCACGCAGGCUGUCAAGAAUUGAGAUAUAUGGUGAUCGGGAUCAAAGCCCGACCAACCACUAAAAGUAGGUAAUGGUGCCACACUUGUAGUUCGAUCUUCUACUGCUUCUAUUUGUACUGCAAUUGAUACUUCUGGCACUCCUACGGCCAUUGGUGUUAUCACUAGUCUCCUUGCUAUUUGAAUUUGAAUUUUUCUUCCUUUGGUUUUACUUGGACGUACAAUUCCUUUUUGUCAUUCCCAUAGGAGAUUUCUUAAGCGUAAUCGCUCCUGUCUUUCUUUCACUUAUCGAUUAAUUCUUUGAUAAUCCUCCUCUUUAUGAUUAUCACUCAUAAUCUUUUAUUCUUCUUUACAAAAUCAAUACUGCCUUGAAUUAUAACUCACAUAUUUGUAACCCUAAAACUGGUUCUUUUCAUGUUCUCAUUCAACAUAUAACUCCAUCUUCCAUACAAUCAAUUUCUAACAUUUCAUAUUGUUAUCAUUUCUCUGGUAGUAGCGCCAAAAUGUUGUUCUCAUUGUGUUCAAGCUUCAGUAUACCAAAGCAAUUAAACUAAUAGAAGUGGGUUCGAACAUGGCGAAAGACUGAUUAUAUGAAUUGGGUCUGUUAGUGUCACAAUUGACUGUACUUUGCUUAUUUGAAAUCAAUUAUCAAACUACAAAACACCAAGGCUUACUACUUCCAUCUUAAUUCAAUGCAUAAUCCAUUCUACGACUAUCAAUUCAACAAUACUUCCAUAUUCUUAUUCGUUCAUCUCCCACUUAUUCUCUUUGUGGUUUAUAUAUAUUUAAUUACUCAUCUCUAGCUUAUUUAUUAUAUUCGGUUUUUCAAUUCAUCACACAGAAUUUAAUAUCUUCACUUAAUACAAUACAAUUCGAUAAUCUCAAUUCUCAAGGUCACAGAUUUUUUCCAAAAUGAUCAGUUCAGAAUCAUAUUCUACAAUAUUCUAAUCAUAGUUUCAACAAUACUUCUUUCAAUCACAAUUCUUCAUCAGAAAAUAAUAAAAGCAAAGAAAACAAAGAGGUAGUACCAAGCUUACCCUGGCUUACGACUCUGACAGUCUGGCUCUGAUCUCUCUUUCUUCAACCUCUUUAUCCUACCAAAAAGAUGAUCCGUCGGCCAGCAGAUUCUAAAGGUUAUGAUCUUUUGAAUUCUUAACCAUUUAUUCCACUAACAACCUACUGUUACCAAGUAAACUACCUAACCAUCAGUGUAAUUCUCAAGGUUAUCAAUAACCAACCAGUAACUUAUCACAAAGUUCAUUUGCCUAUUCUACAUAUAUCUUAUCUUUUCUAAGUGUUAUCAUGGCAUAGCUUUUUAAAAUAAAGAAUAUAAUAGUUCAAAUGUAAGAGCAAUUAAAAAAAAUUAAUGCUUGCAAUGCAUCAAUUGAAGAUACCAUUAUAAGGAGCAAUAAGAAUGGUAAGGAACAAAGAUAUAAAGAUGAUUAGACUUGCUUCAACAUUUGUACUAAAUCAUGUUCUUUCUCUUAUGAUAGAAUAUCCUUUCACUAUUAGAAAAUGAAAGAUUGUAUUGCUUGAGAAGUUUAAUAGCACAAGAUCUAAGUUUCAAGAAUUUAUGAAUCAAGUAUAAUUUGUGAUUGAACUGCAACUCCAAAGCUAUCUAACUCCAAGAUUGCAAGUUAGAUUAAUUAAUAUACUUCUUCAACGUUGAGUAUUACUAUGAUUUUCAUCUUUUUUUGAACAACAAAAUCCAAUAUUAGAUAAUCUAAAGCCUUUUUUAAUGGAAUUUUGAUCCAUAUAUAGAGAAUAUAAUACAAUUUAUAUUGCAGCCAACAAGAUCCAUAUUUUGCAACAAGGCAAUUAAUUAGUAAUAUUAUAUGCUAUAUAUUUUUUGUAAUGGAGUAUGAAUAAGAUAUUUAUAUUAUUAUCAAAUAGAAAUAGGUAAUUAGAGCCAUGUUUAGAAAGUUUUUAGAAGUUUUCAGAAUUAAGGCUAAAUUGGUGGUCUAUGUCAAAUAUUUUAGAAAGAACUUAGGGUGAUUAUUUAUGUAAAAUUGAUCAUUAAGAACAUUUUAUAAGGUUCCAAGAUGGUUGGACAAAGUAUAAAUAAGAUUGAUCAAGGUCAUUUGGAUAUCUGAUUAGAUAUGGCUUCACUUUCUUUUUUUUAAUCAAGUUUGAUUUUGUACUUUUCAAUUCAAUUUUGUUUUAUUUUGUUUUAUUUUUUUUUUCCUUUCAUAUUCUAUUGUAUUUAGUUUUAUUCAAUUUUAUUGGGAUCUAUAUUUUCCUACAUUGUGAAGGAAUUUAAAUUACUAUAGAUUGAAAAGAGUCAAGGACAUGAAUCUCAAAGAAAGAAAAUCGUCAAUAUACUCUUAUGUCAAUGAAGAGAACUAGAAAGUUACUCAAAAGGUGAGAUAAUAUUAAAUUAGAAUGCCUAUUGCUUAAAAAAAAAAAAGACUAAAAAGUCUUGAAAUAAGAUUAAAGGCUAAAAAGGCCUUAAUAAGAGUGAAGAAGGCUUCAUUCUUCUUUCCUAUACUCUUAACUAGGAGCUACAUUGCAAUGUCAUAUAAGACCUCAAAAACGUGUCGACUUUGCAAGAAAUGUAUCUUAACUUACAAGGCAAGUUUUUUAUAUGUGCGCCACGUAAUUAACUUAUUCUACAAGCUACCAACACAUGAUUAGCUUGUUGACUAAGUUUCUAACCUACCAAUCAAUUAUAAAUACAUGUAAAGUCGAACAACAUCUAUGAAGCUUUUAGGAAGCUUCUCUAAAAGGUCUUAUGAAAUUAACUUACUUUUAUGUAAUUUUAUCUAUGUAUAUUCAUAAAAUUACCUCUCCUUUCUAAGUGCAAGUUCCACAACAAGCAGUCUUCAUGUAUUGAAGAAGUUUAAGGUGUGGCAAAUUAUCUUUGCUACAUAUUCCGAUCUUUGCUCUCUUCAAAGAUGGUUGAUAGGUCCUUUCAGCCAUCAAUUGUGUCCCAUAGUAGGACGAGAAGACCACGUGAUAUUUGGUCAUUAUUGAGGCCUUCAUAACUUCUUUCGAAUAAAAUAUUUGAAAUACCAUCAAGAGUUGUUCCGACCUUUAAUAAAAUCACCAAACAUUAGAAGUUUCUUCUGAGGUCACCAUAUCAAACAC
This 22349-nucleotide long non-coding RNA is filed under the name Physcomitrium patens. Its description in RNAcentral is "long non-coding RNA (PPAT_LNC003939)". The record is from RNAcentral. Lineage: Eukaryota; Viridiplantae; Streptophyta; Bryopsida; Funariales; Funariaceae.